Non-coding RNA from Pangasianodon gigas (Mekong giant catfish), 72 nucleotides. NCBI's taxonomy places the organism in Eukaryota, Metazoa, Chordata, Actinopteri, Siluriformes, Pangasiidae. The record is from the annotation of a GenBank genome assembly.
GGUAGUAGGCUCAGUGGUUAAGGCUUUGAGUUACGGAACAGAAGAUGGUGGGUUCAAGUCCCAGCACUGCCA